Long non-coding RNA from Zingiber officinale, 2351 nucleotides. RefSeq lists it as uncharacterized. The record is from RefSeq and is a predicted model, not a curated record. The transcript has 3 exons. Lineage: Eukaryota; Viridiplantae; Streptophyta; Magnoliopsida; Zingiberales; Zingiberaceae.
AAAACCUUAUAUCUACAUCUCAUCCCGAUUCCUAUGUUCUUCCCCAUUUCUUUCUCCCCCGUUCCCCCUUCCAACAUGCGAUUUCCAGGGUUUCGGCCACAUCUCCGACCGACGACGGCGUGAUCUGCGACAACCGCUUGCUCUCCAGCGGUGGAAGGUUUUCGAUUGGUAAGCCCACUGCUCUCGGAUCUCCCUCUCUCGGCGAAGGCGCGGGCCUUGCCGUGGCUGGCCGAAUCUUGUCCGCGUCGCGGGGCUGCCUGCCGUCGUGGGCUGUCCGGCGCCAGGCGCGUGCUGGCCACCGCCAGGCGCGUGCUGGAAGCAGACAACGAUCCGUUCUGUUGUUGGCGAUCAGUCGAGUUUCCAGAAACAAAAUCGAAGUCUCCAUUCUGUUGUUGGCGAUCAGUCGUUGGAUCGUGGUCGAAUCCGGUGUCAAUUGAUGGUGAGGAAGCCCAGCAGCAGUUGCUGCGCCAUCUGCGAGGGUUCAAAUCUGGCAUCAAUUUGUGCUCCCUGCCACAAGCUAGUGAUUUCUUUUGAUCAUCUUUGAUAUGGAGCUGGAUAUGGGCAAUUGUCGGUAUGUAGUGAUAUAAUUUCAGAAAUUUCAAGUUAAACGAGUACAACCCUCUGUUGAAAUCUCUGAAUACCGUCUGUAAAUCUCAUUAUUCGAAGCUGGACGAUUUGCUCGCCAAGAAGAGGAAAGCAGAUCAGCAGAUUAACUGGAGAGUGAUGCAAAAUGUGGAACUCAAGGCAUUGAAGGAACGGCUAACCUACUUGAAGAAGAAACUUGCUGAAGAUAAGGCUAAGGUUUCCAAAGAAUCAAAUGAUCUGAAGUUGAAAUAUGGGUCAUUGGAAUUAGCAUUUUCUAUAGUGAGAUAAUUUUACUUUUAUACUCUUCCUACACUUAUUCGUCCUUUCUUCAAUUGUAUGCUUCUAAUAUGUCUGAACUUUUGUUAAUUAUUCAUGUUUUAGAUGAAAAACAAGCAAACAGAAGUAUUAGAUAAACUCAGUAGCGAUCUUAUGUCCAAAAUCUCAAAAUUAUUUAUACACAUCUGAAUUGUAAGAUAAUAUAGCUAUGUAAAAGAAAUCAAAAAAUAUACCAAUUAAGAUUUUCAAAAUUAAUUGUACACAUCUGAAUUUAGAACUAUCAAACCAUAAAUCAACUUUUUUUCAUGAUAUGCAUCUUUUCCGUAUUAAAAGGCAAUCUAAUUUAAACAAAGCCAAGUCCCUUCAUCAGCCUAUCUUAAUUAUUAGUACCACAUAUACAAGAUGUCCACAUAAAAGCAUAAAAGAGGAGAGGAUUACAAGGAGGAUGUGAAAAGAAUCAAUUAGGCGAAAUUAAUAAAAAUGAUCAACAAGCAUCCAACAACUUUUGAUGCCAUCAUUUUGCUUAAUUUUUAUAGUUUGAUAAAUGAGCUCCGAAAAUAUAUCCUUUUUGGUCGUCCUAACGUUUUGUGACACUUUACAAUUAAUCAUAUUUGCUUAGCAAUAAGUAAACUUUGUACCAAAAGCAAGUGAUUGAACUUACUAGAGAAAGAACUAGUGUAAAGAACAGUAGUUGUGUCUUAGACUCCUAGUCCAGGAUCCAUAGUAAGUUUCAACUAAAAUACAUAGAAAUUAGCAACCGUUUCACUUAGAUGAGGAUCAGGUGCAUGAAAGCUAAAGGAAGAAAGAUUUGCAUAUUCACCAUGAAAACCAUCAUUAGUUUACAGAAAUUAUUUGCAUAUUCACAGAAAUUAUUUUAAACAUUCUUUAGUUUACAUUAAACACCAAAACACAACCAAACCAAGGACAAAACUAUAAAUUCAGCAAAUUAAAAUGAAAAAUAAAGUGAACAAAGUGAGGAAAUUUGAACCCUAAUACCAUACUACACAAGAUCUCUUUCUCUCUCUAUAUAUAUGAUGUGCCAAUUAUAUUAGGUUGUAUCAUAGUUACGAUACUUGUACUUAGCUUCACGAUAAUUCUUAUACUUUUAUUUACCGUUGCUAUCACAUGGAUGGUUCAUAUCGUUGGUAAAUAGGGCAUUUAUUUGAAUGUUUAAGGAAUUUCACAGUUAUGUCUUUUUUCCAAUCGUUCUUGUUACAUGGUCAUAUCGUAUCAUAUUUACAAUCUUUCUUGUUACACAUGAUCUGGUUUAUUUGUUUGUUGUUAUGUAGGCAAAGGAGAUUUGAUGGGGAGCAAAGCUUUUGUGGCAGACGAAGAUGACUUGAUGUAUUAUUAGUUUAUUUACCUUCUUGAUGGAUGAUGAACUUAUAUAACAUUGGGUUGUUGAACUUUGUAUAAUAUUUUCUAGAAGCUUGAACAAGAUUGUUGAGAUCUUUAUAUUUGUUGAAUUAUGAGUUGAGUUCAAUUAUUAA